GCAGAUAGAGAAGAGAUAUCAUCAGGAUGGAUAAGGUCUGAAGGUGACCUAUUUCUGAAUGGCGCCCAGCCUUGUUUAUUACAAGGUGCUGGUGUGGAAUGUGUUUUCAGGGCCCAUGAGCAUUACCCAGCUUGGACAAUGGAACCUGCAUCACCGGCUCUGAAAGAGGUUCUCCAGUUGUGUACAGGAUGGCAGGCCAUACCAAGGUCACCAGGGUGUUAGUACUGUGUCUGUGUGAGGUACCUGCGUCUAAAACAGCUAUCAUAGAUAUACGGCUCCAUGUGUUAUCAUGUAUACGAGUAGAAGCCCUUUAGUUUAGUUUAUUUAUUCGUUCAGCUUGUGUUUAUUUGUUUGUUUGUCGAAUAUUAAAUUGUGCCUAUGUGGCCGAAUGUGAUCUUUGGUAAGCCAUCCUUUUAACUUUGUUUUGAGGCCUGAGACUUCAUCGUGAUUCUUUUCUUCGGCACAAAGAUACCUUCUUGAAAUGCUCUUUUCAUUUAUUAGCUUCCAGAGUGUGAUUCCAAGAAAAGGCUUCUUGUUUGCAAGCCUUCUCAGAAUGUGGCGCAAGGUAGUCUCAUUUAGUAUGGGUCUUUGUUACUAAUCAUGGCAGAUGGCCAGACCUUAGGGUCCUUUGCAGAAUAAGAUUAUAAAUCCCCAUGGUUCGGGACUUCUGAGAUACAAAUUUCAUUAAAGCUUGUAAUUUAGCUGAGUGUACUUUGUGGCUUGAGUUUGUUUGUAACAACAUGGUGUGUUAAGUUUGGUAGUUGCCUUAAUUCUGUUAAUGAUCAAUAGCUGGGACUUGACCUCUUAAUCUACUCAAGUAUUUACCAGAUCAUGACAUGUGGUCAUCUGUAUCGCUCACAUCUAGAACCAUCUUAUCCUGCUUUCAGUCUUGUAGCAUUUAAUUGAUAAAUUCCUGAGUCUAUGACCUUUCUCAUGCUUUUGAUUCUCGGGCCAAUGCUGAAAUUCUUUUGAUCUUGUGCUUGGAAUGUUUGUGUGCCUAAGAAUUUAUCCUAUCUGUUUACCUUCUUAGUAUAGAAACCUCAUGGUAGAUAGACGUUGCAUUAAAAAAUAAUAGCUGUUCUAACCUCUGGGUUGCUCAGUUACACUAAACUGCAUGCGGACAUGCGUCUCGGUUAUAACAAAUCAGUUAUAACAUAAUAUUAUUUUCUAGAAUAGAUACAUCACCCAUGGCUUAUCUUUUAUACAUAUUUGUUUUCUUCUGCUUUGGCUGUCCUCAGUUUAUCAUCCCAUGCUAAAUGCCCUCCAUUUCUAUUUCUAUAGAUGAUGGAUAUGGUUCGCUUCGUGAUGCAUGCCGUAGAAAAGAACCCUUGUGGAUUGUUUUCGAAGUUUCAGGAAUCAUCCAACUUUCAUCGUACUUGAGGGUAUCAUCCUAUAAGACAAUUGAUGGUCGAGGACAGAGGGUUAAGUUAGCAGGCAAAGGCUUACAACUGAAAGAGUGUGAACAUGUGAUAAUAUGCAAUCUGGAGUUUGAAGGUGGUCGAGGACAUGAUGUUGAUGGUAUUCAGAUAAAGCCCAAAUCAAGACAUAUCUGGAUAGACCGUUGCAGUCUGCGUGAUUAUGAUGAUGGACUAAUUGAUAUCACCCGUGAAAGUACUGAUAUUACAGUGUCAAGGUAAGGAGAUGCAACUCAGAUCUUACUGCAGGAAUCUGCACCAGCCUUUAUAUUAUGUUAUGUACCUCUGUAGUUCAACUUGCAUAGAUUAGUUCACUAUUAACUUAUAUGAUUACUUUACCUUGAUCUCAUCUCUUUGCAUUCUUUUGGUAUAAUUUUUUUCAUUUUUGUAUCCAUAGUAUAGUGAGAAUCACAAAUCAGCUUUAGUUAUCAUUACUUGGAUAAAGUGAUCUUCACACUUAAUGAAUAGGCUAAACUUGAUGCCACUUUGUACCCAUCUUUUUCUAAAAUAUGAUGGUUCUUGAUGAGAUGGGUGACAGGCAUCUGCCUUGCUUGUAUUUAUUACUCAAAGUAUGUUUCGCCUAAGCAAGGCAUGCAGAAGAAAUAUCAUGCUGAGCUGUUCUUUACCUUGAUAAAGAUUCUUUAUUUUUGGAUUGUUAUCAUGCUCGAUCUUCUAAAUUAUUUGGAAUAUGAGGUUGGAGGGGCAACAAAAAGGACAGGUGCAUCAAUUGGAAGCAUAACAUUACAAAACUGCUUAGAAACAAGAAUUACUGUGCUUGUUAGUUAUAGGGAAAAUAAUGCAGAUUUGGUGACAAAGGGACUCCACAUGAAUACUCUUGAGAGGGCAUAGAGAGAAAUAGCUACCUACCGUUCAUAAUAUGCUACUCUGAAUGAAACUUAUUUUGCUCGUUACUUUUAUUUUUUUUUCUUAGCUGCUCUUUCAUGUUAUUUGCAGCAGCAUUCAAAAGAUCAUGUUGGAUACUGUUAGUAUUUGUGAUAAGGUAUUCCUUCAGUCUACCAUAAUGUAGGGUCAAGGUUCCUGCAUUCAUGAUCUGUAUAUUAUUCUUCAAGCAGAUGCCACUUCUCGAUGCAUGAUAAGACAAUGCUUAUUGGAGCAGAUAGUAGCCACAUCACUGAUAGAUGUAUACGGGUGACAAUUCAUCAUUGUUUUUUUGAUGGGACAAGACAGCGGCAUCCUCGAGUUAGAUUUGGCAAAGUUCACCUUUACAACAACUAUAUAAGAAAUUGGGGCAUAUAUGCUGUUUGCGCCGGUGUUGAAGCACAGGUCCUUCUGAGUCUAAAAUAUGAAGUUUCUUGUUUAUACAAAUUUCUGAAAUUCUGAUUUUCUUUUAUAGAUCUGAUAUAUUGUCUUUGCUUGCGUUUCUGUUCCAGAUUGUCUCUCAAUGCAAUAUAUAUGAAGCAGGACAGAAGAAGGUGGUUUUUAAAUACAUGCCUGAGAAGGUAUAUUUUCUGUUUAAAUAGAGUUAGAACAUGUUUUUUGCAAUGUUUCUUCAUUUGAAACGGUCUAAACCAACCAAUAUCACAAGAUGUUUUAUUUAAAUUUGUAUUUCGUGAGUUAGAUGAGACCAGGAGGGAUGAUGUUAGAUUGAAGCCAGAAGUGGGUCACUAAAAUAAGUAUGGAUGCUUAUUUUUAUGGAUCACCGUAAUUUGAGAUGCUUGCAUAUUGUGCUAAUGCAUGAAUCGUCCCAGUUAUAUUUUUAAGCUGUGACAGACUUAUGAACCGGUCGGGAGCUGCCUACUUAUAAAUCACAAGAAAAGAAAAGUUCCUAAGAAAUCUAGUACAGUAAAAAUCAUGAAAUUAGGCUUUCGAAUGUGGAUUCUGGUUGUUGUUGGUGCAGGCAGCAGAUAGAGAAGAGAUAUCAUCAGGAUGGAUAAGGUCUGAAGGUGACCUAUUUCUGAAUGGCGCCCAGCCUUGUUUAUUACAAGGUGCUGGUGUGGAAUGUGUUUUCAGGGCCCAUGAGCAUUACCCAGCUUGGACAAUGGAACCUGCAUCACCGGCUCUGAAAGAGGUUCUCCAGUUGUGUACAGGAUGGCAGGCCAUACCAAGGUCACCAGGGUGUUAGUACUGUGUCUGUGUGAGGUACCUGCGUCUAAAACAGCUAUCAUAGAUAUACGGCUCCAUGUGUUAUCAUGUAUACGAGUAGAAGCCCUUUAGUUUAGUUUAUUUAUUCGUUCAGCUUGUGUUUAUUUGUUUGUUUGUCGAAUAUUAAAUUGUGCCUAUGUGGCCGAAUGUGAUCUUUGGUAAGCCAUCCUUUUAACUUUGUUAUUAAAACCUUGGUACCAAGGAUCUAACUUUUAGCUCCAAGGUCGCAUGCUCACAUUGUCUAGUCUUAGGACUCCCAUGGGUUAGAGCUCCUGUAAAACCUUGUAGGGUUGAGAUCAAUGACUAGUCUAGCUAUGCAAUAUCUGUUCCUGAUGUUCAGACAGGUAGGAAUGAGUUGGUGGGAUAUCUUGGGUUGCUUAUCUGAUUCUGUAUAUAAAUCUUUAUAAAGGAAGUCCUUUGGUCUUUUUCCUAUAUUGACUGGGUUAAGAGGAAAAGAUUAUUGUUCGGGGAGUUAUUGUUCAAAUUUACCUGACAGAUGCUACAUAUUCUCUUAAUUGUUUGGCGGAACCUUUCAGGAUUGCAUCUCUUAAACGACAUUUAUUGAGCUUGGCAUGCAUUCAUUUGUCUGUCAUCUCAUUUGAAAAACACCAGAAGUAUACCGUUUCAUGAUGUGUGGAUCACCGUAAUUUGAGAUGCUUGCAUAUUGUGCUAAUGCAUGAAUCGUCCCAGUUAUAUUUUUAAGCUGUGACAGACUUAUGAACCGGUCGGGAGCUGCCUACUUAUAAAUCACAAGAAAAGAAAAGUUCCUAAGAAAUCUAGUACAGUAAAAAUCAUGAAAUUAGGCUUUCGAAUAUGGAUUCUGGUUGUUGUUGGUGCAGGCAGCAGAUAGAGAAGAGAUAUCAUCAGGAUGGAUAAGGUCUGAAGGUGACCUAUUUCUGAAUGGCGCCCAGCCUUGUUUAUUACAAGGUGCUGGUGUGGAAUGUGUUUUCAGGGCCCAUGAGCAUUACCCAGCUUGGACAAUGGAACCUGCAUCACCGGCUCUGAAAGAGGUUCUCCAGUUGUGUACAGGAUGGCAGGCCAUACCAAGGUCACCAGGGUGUUAGUACUGUGUCUGUGUGAGGUACCUGCGUCUAAAACAGCUAUCAUAGAUAUACGGCUCCAUGUGUUAUCAUGUAUACGAGUAGAAGCCCUUUAGUUUAGUUUAUUUAUUCGUUCAGCUUGUG
RNAcentral lists this long non-coding RNA (4702 nucleotides) under Phoenix dactylifera (date palm). RNAcentral's name for it is "long non-coding RNA (PDAC_LNC000210)". The record is from RNAcentral. Lineage: Eukaryota; Viridiplantae; Streptophyta; Magnoliopsida; Arecales; Arecaceae.